AAAAAAAACCUUCUCUAUUCUAGAGAUGGGAUGUGCCAGGGAAGGAAUGUGAGGCGGGUCUGCAGAGCUCCAAUUUACCUUCAGGAAACUGAGGACCAGCAAUGCUGAAUAAGUCAUCCAGAGAUACAAUGUUGAGCUUGGAAAAGGAGUUUAUGGGAAGAAAAGAGAGAAACUGCUUGAAGAGAACAGGGAUGCCCUUUGUUCACCUGGCUGGUUCCUAGCUUUAAAAUUCCCUCUGCACAUGGAAAAGAGAUGGAACACUGAUGACUGGACCUAUGUAAGGCUUCCGCUGCCAACAACACAGUUUGGUUGAACACCCUCUGGUGGUGUUAUUUUAGCACUUUUCACAAAUGCUAAUGAACACUCACUUGGUCAGAGCAGACAAACACAAUCUGCUGGUUUUGUUUGGGCAUGACUCACACUGGCUAAUGAACAGUGACUCACUCGGCUCUGCAGAGAGCAGAGCUGAGCCCAGUCUCAGGAGUGAAAGACACUAGCACUGCAGGCAAGCAAUGUCCCCAGAACCAGGAUUAGAAAUGGUGCCUGGGGUCAGGCGUGGUGGCUGAUGCCUGCAAUCCCAGAGUUUUAAGAGAAUCACUUGAGGCCAGGAGUUUAACACCAGCCUGGCCAACAUGGUGAAACCCCAUCUCUACUAAAAAUACAAAAAAGAAAAAGCCAGGUGUGGUGGUGCACACCUGUACUUUUCAGCUACUUGGGAGGCUGAGGCAGGAGAAUUGCUUGAACCUAGGAGGAGGAGGUUGCAGUGAGCAGAGAUUGCACUACUGCACUCCAGCCUGGGCAACAGAGCAAGACUCUGUUUAAAAAAAAAAAAAAAAAAGAGGGAGGGAGGGUAGGUGGGUGGGUGCCUGGGAAGUCGCUGAUAGAGCUGUGACUUCCCACUUGAAAUCAUAGAUGAUAUACCCCAGAGAAGAAAUCAUUCUUUCAUAAGGCAUGGGGGAAGAAUGUGAAAAAAGGCAGUUAGUAUCUCAAUAUUUCAGACAGGCAUGGAGAAGAGAAACAAAUCUUCAGAUUGCAUGCCAACACUGAUGUAUUGAUGGGGUUAGCCUGGAGCGCUGGGUUGAAAAGGAUUCGAAGAUUUGGUAUGGGGGCUGGUCAGCAGUGCCUCCUGGGGUGGGUAAUAGAGAGGGCACCAGCAUGAAUGAUGGGUACUGGCCACUCUGCCAUUUCUGAGGGCUAAUGAAGCCCCUCUCCAUAGCCACUGGGCUCCCUGCACCCAGUUCUCAAGUCCAAUACC
This is a long non-coding RNA of Callithrix jacchus (white-tufted-ear marmoset), 1255 nucleotides long. RefSeq lists it as uncharacterized. NCBI's taxonomy places the organism in Eukaryota, Metazoa, Chordata, Mammalia, Primates, Cebidae. The record is from RefSeq and is a predicted model, not a curated record.